GGUACCAAAUCGUUGCAAACUAAGAAUACUAAGUGAAAAGAUUAUCAGUGAGACUGUGGGGGAUAAGCUCCAUUGUCAAGAGGGAAACAGCCCAGAGCACCAGUUAAGGCCCCUAAAUAAUUGCUAAGUGAUAAAGGAAGUGGGAGUGCAAAAACAAUCAGGAGGUUUGCUUAGAAGCAGCAAUCCUUUAAAGAAAGCGUAAUAGCUCACUAG
This 213-nucleotide ribosomal RNA is filed under the name Chloropicon mariensis. RNAcentral's name for it is "partial Bacterial large subunit ribosomal RNA". It matches the Rfam family "Bacterial large subunit ribosomal RNA", at positions 935 to 1148 of the family's 2925-position model. The record is from RNAcentral. Lineage: Eukaryota; Viridiplantae; Chlorophyta; Chloropicophyceae; Chloropicales; Chloropicaceae.